AGCGAACGCUGGCGGCAGGCUUAACACAUGCAAGUCGAGCGCCCCGCCAGGGGAGCGGCAGACGGGAGAGUAACACGUGGGAACAUACCUUUUGGUUCGGAACAACUGAGGGAAACUUCAGCUAAUACCGGAUAAGGCCUUACGGGGAAAGAUUUAUCGCCGAAAGAUUGGGCCGCGUCUGAUUAGCUAGUUGGUGGGGUAACGGCUCACCAAGGCGACGAUCAGUAGCUGGUCUGAGAGGAUGAUCAGCCUCACUGGGACUGAGACACGGCCCAGACUCCUACGGGAGGCAGCAGUGGGGAAUAUUGGACAAUGGGGGCAACCCUGAUCCAGCCAUGCCGCGUGAGUGAUGAAGGCCUUAGGGUUGUAAAGCUCUUUUGCCCGGGAAGAUAAUGACGGUACCGGGAGAAUAAGCCCCGGCUAACUUCGUG
RNAcentral lists this ribosomal RNA (431 nucleotides) under uncultured bacterium. RNAcentral's name for it is "partial 16S ribosomal RNA". It matches the Rfam family "Bacterial small subunit ribosomal RNA", at positions 29 to 507 of the family's 1533-position model. The record is from RNAcentral.